This 231-nucleotide unclassified non-coding RNA is filed under the name uncultured fungus. RNAcentral's name for it is "sequence contains ITS1". The record is from RNAcentral. Lineage: Eukaryota; Fungi.
GUAUUGAUUGCGGGUUAGCGCAUAAAUGAGGUCAUUCUACACUUUUUAAAAGGGGUGUUUGUGUGAAAACGUGAGCCCUCCUGCAAAGGGGGGACCCGCGCGGUGAUGCACAAAGGGGUGAGAUGGAUUUUGUGUGAGAGCGCUCAGGCGUGCACGACCUUUGGAGGUCAGCGACAGCCCUCGCACCUCGGUUGUACGAUAAUGAUCCUUCCGCAGGUUCACCUACGGAAA